This 506-nucleotide ribosomal RNA is filed under the name uncultured bacterium. Its description in RNAcentral is "partial 16S ribosomal RNA". It matches the Rfam family "Bacterial small subunit ribosomal RNA", at positions 28 to 523 of the family's 1533-position model. The record is from RNAcentral.
GAUGAACGCUAGCGGCAGGCCUAACACAUGCAGGUCGAGGGGCAGCACAUAAAGUGGUUUACUACUUUUGGUGGCGACCGGCGGACGGGUGCGUAACACGUAUGCAACCUGCCUCCAACAGGGGGAUAACGGAGCGAAAUUUCCACUAAUACCCCAUAAUAUCAGAAUCGGCAUCGGUGUUGGUUGAAAACUCCGGUGGUUGGAGAUGGGCAUGCGUUGUAUUGGAUAGUUGGUGAGGUAACGGCUCACCAAGUCAACGAAACAUAGGGGGACUGAGAGGUUAGCCCCCCACACUGGUACUGAGACACGGACCAGACUCCUACGGGAGGCAGCAGCGAGGAAUAUUGGUCAAUGGGGGCAACCCUGAACCAGCCAUGCCGCGUGCAGGAAGACGACUCUAUGAGUUGUAAACUGCUUUUACAAGGGGAUAAAUCGGUGUACGUGUACACCGUUGAAGGUACCUUGGGAAUAAGGAUCGGCUAACUCCGUGCCAGCAGCCGCCGUAA